GAUGAACGCUGGCGGCGUGCUUAACACAUGCAAGUCGAACGGAAAGGCCCAAGCUUGCUUGGGUACUCGAGUGGCGAACGGGUGAGUAACACGUGGGUGAUCUGCCCUGCACUUCGGGAUAAGCCUGGGAAACUGGGUCUAAUACCGGAUAGGACGAUGGUUUGGAUGCCAUUGUGGAAAGUUUUUUCGGUGUGGGAUGAGCUCGCGGCCUAUCAGCUUGUUGGUGGGGUAAUGGCCUACCAAGGCGUCGACGGGUAGCCGGCCUGAGAGGGUGUACGGCCACAGUGGGACUGAGAUACGGCCCAGACUCCUACGGGAGGCAGCAGUGGGGAAUAUUGCACAAUGGGCGCAAGCCUGAUGCAGCGACGCCGCGUGGGGGAUGACGGCCUUCGGGUUGUAAACUCCUUUCGCUAGGGACGAAGCGUUUUUGUGACGGUACCUGGAGAAGAAGCACCGGCUAACUACGUG
This 468-nucleotide ribosomal RNA is filed under the name uncultured bacterium. RNAcentral describes it as "partial 16S ribosomal RNA". It matches the Rfam family "Bacterial small subunit ribosomal RNA", at positions 28 to 507 of the family's 1533-position model. The record is from RNAcentral.